Molecule: non-coding RNA, 3406 nt
Organism: Chlorocebus sabaeus (green monkey)
Lineage: Eukaryota; Metazoa; Chordata; Mammalia; Primates; Cercopithecidae
Source: RefSeq, a predicted model, not a curated record
UUUUAAACUAUAUUAAAAAGAAGAAAUUUGGUUAUCAAAGACAUCAGUAAGAGAGUGAAAAAGGCAAGUACUAGAGUGAAUUAAUAUAUAUGUAAUAUAUAUAUGACUAGCAGAAAUUUUAUAUCCAGACUUCACUUAUUUUUGCAUAAUCAAUUAGAAAAGUGCAAACAAACUAAGAGGGAAAAAUGGGCAAGAGACCUGAACAAGCAACCUAGAAAAGAUGACACCCAAUGGUAAACAAAUUUACGAAUAUGAGCCCAAUCUUUUUAGUUAUCAGAACAAUGCAAAUUAGAUCCACAAUUCAAUACUCCAACACUCAUACUCCAGAAUGGUUAAAUUAAAAGUCUGACAAUGCCUCUUUCUCCGGCUGGAACCAUAGAGGGUGUAGAAGAGAAGAAGAAGGUUCUGCUGUGCCAGAAACCCUUAAGAAAAAGCGAAGGAAUUUCACAGAGCUGAAGAUCAAGUGCCUGAGAAAGAAGUUUGCUCAAAAGAUGCUUAGAAAGGCAAGGAGGAAGCUUAUCUAUGAAAAAGUGAAGCACUAUCACAAGGAAUAUAGGCAGAUGUACAGAACUGAAAUUCAAAUGGCGAGGAUGGCAAGAAAAGCUAGCAACUUCUAUGUACCUGCUGAACCCAAAUUGGCAUUUGUCAUCAGCAUCAGAGGUAUCAAUGGCGUGAGCCCAAAGGUCCAAAAGUUUCUUCAGCUUCUUCGCCUUCGUCAGAUCUUCAAUGGAAGCUUUGUGAAGCUCAACAAGGCUUCGAUUAACAUGCUGAGGAUUGUAGAGCCAUAUAUUGCAUGGGGGUACCCCAAUCUGAAGUCAGUAAAUGAACUAAUCUACAAGCUUGGUUAUGGCAAAAUCAAUAAGAAGCGAAUUGCUUUGACAGAUAACGCUUUGAUUGAUCGAUCUCUUGGUAAAUAUGGCAUCAUCUGCAUGGAGGAUCUGAUUCAUAAGAUCUAUACUGUUGGAAAACGCUUCAAAGAGGCAAAUAACUUCCUAUGGCCCUUCAAGUUAUCUUCUCCACGAGGUGGAAUGAAGAAAAAGACCACCAAUUUUGUCGAAAGUGGAGAUGCUGGCAACAGGGAGGACCAGGCUUAUUAGAAGAAUUAUUAUUAUUAUCUAAUUAUCAUUAGAAGAAUCAUCAACAGGCUUAUUAGAAGAAUGAACUAAGGUGGCUACUAUGAUUAUUUUUCUAAGCUGGUCAGUUAAUAAACAGUAUCUGCUCUCAAAUUGAAAAAAAAAUCUGAUAAUGCAAAGUGUAACGAUGGAUAUGAAACAAUUCUGUACAACCACUAUCACUAUUUAUUUACAAUCUACAGAAAUGAGUAUUGAUGUGCAACAAAAGGCACACACAAGAAUGUGUCAGAAUUAUUUAUAAUAGCUCCAACUGGAAACUUUCCCAAAAACAUCAAGAUGAAAUGGAACAAUGCGACUAUGGUAUAUUUCAAAUGAUACAAUAUCACCAUGAAAAUGAAAAAAUAAUUUAAAAAAAGCUGUCACAAACAAAAUAUUAAACAAAAGAAAAGAUAAACAUGACAGUAUUUGUGAAGUUCAAAACAGACAUAAAGGCAAAAUUUGAAUAUGGUUAGAAAUAGGGUUGUGGUUACUUGAGGGAGGGGCAGGGGUAUAGGGAAGGCCCCACAUAAGUUCUUUCUUGACCUUGGUGAUAGUUUCAAGGUCAUUUUCUUUUUAAAACUAUGUUGAGCUACAUCUUUAUGAACACUUUUCUAUACAGAUGUUAUAUAUUAAUUCUAAAUAUUUUAAAAAUAUGUAAGAGACACUACAAGGUUCCUGAUAACUGAGCACGACUAAAUUAGUGGUAACUUUAAUCUAAAUAUUAUGUUUUAAUUUCUUUUCAAAAAAUUAGAAAACAUAUUAAGCUGUCCAGUAGUUUGGUGGUAUAGAAUCAAGAAAGGAGGAAAACCAUUUGGGAGGAUGACUCAGCACCUGAUAUUCUCUUCUUUUUAGCUCAUGUGACUUUUCUUUCUUUGCUCCCAAUCAACUCCUCUGAUAGGAGGACAGUUCAGCUGGAUGUCAGUGCAUGUCCUGGGUUUUGCUACUGCUGUCUUCAGUGUCUGCCUGUGUGUAUGUGCAUGUGCACCUGAGUGCACCUCUUCACCAACUCCCUGGUUUUGUUGGGAAGGCAUUUCCUAAAAUCCUUCCUUCCUCUUACUUUCCCCAUUUUUCUGCACCCGCUAGGUAGAGGUAGAUCUGAAUAGUAAGUCUGAGAGAAUAGCAAGGUGUGAGUUGCCCAGACACUUCCUCUGUUCUCUUCCCUUCCUCUUACCCAGAACAUGGCUUUCUUUUUCUCAGCCACUUUGUCCUAUACAACAUUAUCCUAAGUGCGGAAAGUUUCUCUUCUUUGAGGGUGUAGGUAGUAAGUCCAUUCGGCUGUUAUGCUAAACUUAAUCUUGCAACCUGGCCUUUCUUAGCAGUAAUGCCAAUACCCACAAGGUCUUCAUCUGUCUUGCUCUUUUGUUUUGUUUUGUUUCUCAUUUGCUUCAGAGCCAGAGUGGAAAGAAGGUAGAAAGGAUGGGCUAAUUAUUGAGCAUUUUCAUGACUCAAAUAACACAUAUAAACUCCAAUGUAGAAUGUGUUCAUGGAAUUUUAUAUGAAUUGAGUCAUUCUCUUAAAUAUUUUACUAUAUUCUAAAUUUGAUAUUAGCAAUACAUCUCUUGCUAUCUCUUCUGUGUCAAAAACUCCCUCCCCAUGAUUUCCACUUCUCUAUUUCUUCCUUAAAGACUCGCUGAAGUUUUUCAUGUUAGUUAGUCUGAGAACUCAGGAAAUAUGAAGAUGAAAAUGAAAAACAGAGGAUAAGGGGAGGAAGAGUAGAAAAUAUUAUUAAGAGUGUCUGUUUAUUAAAUGGUCUCUAUGAUCCUACCUCACAGACGAGGAAACUGAGGCUAAGAAAAUUAAGGAAGUUUCCCAAGACUACAAAGCUUAAUAAAAGCUUCCUUUCUCUGAACUUCCAUGUCACCUUCUGAUUGUAUUUUUAACCUAGCAUAUGCCAUUUCUUGCCUUAGGCAACUAUCAUCUUUUUCUAUAUGUUUCCCUUUUCAUGAAAUCAGUUAUCAAUCUCUUUAAAGCAUAGAUUGUUUUCUUUUUUAAUUUAUAUCUAUUCCCUCUAACACAAUGUCCUGGACACAUUAGGUGCUCAGGAAAGUUUUGUUGGUGAUGACAUAAGAGCUCAAAAUUAGAUAAACAAUAUUUAAAAUGCGACAGUUAUGAGAUGCAAAAUUUGAAGUUGUUGUGCAUGUUUGGUGGAUAUAAUAGAGAAACAGGUCUAUCUGCUGCGUAAGUUGUAGGGUAUGGAAGGAUAUAUUCUCUUUAAAUAAAAAGUACAGUGGGCUGGGCACAGUGGCUCACACCUGUAAUCCUGGCACUUUGGGAGGCCCAGGGGGUGGAUCGCC